GAGAAAAUCUGCAAGGACUGCUAACCCAUGCCCCCGUACUUAAAACCACGGCUUUCUCA
RNAcentral lists this transfer RNA (59 nucleotides) under Lophocebus aterrimus (Black crested mangabey). RNAcentral describes it as "tRNA-Ser". The record is from RNAcentral. Lineage: Eukaryota; Metazoa; Chordata; Mammalia; Primates; Cercopithecidae.